Molecule: ribosomal RNA, 375 nt
Filed under: uncultured organism
Description: bacterial SSU rRNA
Rfam family: Archaeal small subunit ribosomal RNA
Source: RNAcentral
CCAGCACCCCGAGUUGUCGGGACGAUUAUUGGGCCUAAAGCAUCCGUAGCCUGUUCUGCAAGUCCUCCGUUAAAUCCACCUGCUUAACGGAUGGGCUGCGGGGGAUACUGCAGAGCUAGGAGGCGGGAGAGGCAAACGGUACUCAGUGGGUGGGGGUAAAAUCCAUUGAUCUACUGAAGACCACCAGUGGCGAAGGCGGUUUGCCAGAACGCGCUCGACGGUGAGGGAUGAAAGCUGGGGGAGCAAACCGGAUUAGAUACCCGGGUAGUCCCAGCUGUAAACGAUGCAGACUCGGUGAUGGGUUGGCUUUGAGCCAACCCAGUGCCGCAGGGAAGCCGUUAAGUCUGCCGCCUGGGGAGUACGGUCGCAAGACUG